Molecule: ribosomal RNA, 468 nt
Filed under: uncultured bacterium
Lineage: Bacteria
Description: partial 16S ribosomal RNA
Rfam family: Bacterial small subunit ribosomal RNA
Source: RNAcentral
GACGAACGCUGGCGGCGUGCUUAACACAUGCAAGUCGAACGGAAAGGCCCUGCUUUUGUGGGGUGCUCGAGUGGCGAACGGGUGAGUAACACGUGAGUAACCUGCCCUUGACUUUGGGAUAACUUCAGGAAACUGGGGCUAAUACCGGAUAGGAGCUCCUGCUGCAUGGUGGGGGUUGGAAAGUUUCGGCGGUUGGGGAUGGACUCGCGGCUUAUCAGCUUGUUGGUGGGGUAGUGGCUUACCAAGGCUUUGACGGGUAGCCGGCCUGAGAGGGUGACCGGCCACAAUGGGGCUGAGGAGAGGCCCAGACGACUACGGGAGGCAGCAGUGGGGAAGAAUGCACAACGGGCGGAAGCCUGAUGCAGGAACGCCGCGGGGGGGAUGAAGGCCUUCGGGGUGUAAACCGCUUUCGCCUGUGACGAAGCGUGAGUGACGGUAAUGGGUAAAGAAGCACCGGCUAACUACGUG